RNAcentral lists this ribosomal RNA (383 nucleotides) under uncultured eukaryote. RNAcentral's name for it is "SSU rRNA". It matches the Rfam family "Eukaryotic small subunit ribosomal RNA", at positions 587 to 972 of the family's 1831-position model. The record is from RNAcentral.
AGCUCCAAUAGCGUAUAUUAAAGUUGUUGUGGUUAAAAAGCUCGUAGUUGGAUCUCAACAGCCUUGAAGCGGUUAACUUUGUAGUUUUACUGCUUUAUAGGCUGUGCUUUUGCUGGAGGUUUAGGGGUGCUCUUGAUCGAGUGUCUCUGGAUGCCAGCAGGUUUACUUUGAAAAAAUUAGAGUGCUCAAAGCAGGCUAAAAUGCCUGAAUAUUCGUGCAUGGAAUAAUAGAAUAGGAUGUCGAUCCUAUUUUGUUGGUUUUCGGGACUCGACAUAAUGAUAAAUAGGGACAGUCGGGGGCAUUUGUAUUCAAACGACAGAGGUGAAAUUCUUGGACCGUUUGAAGACAAACUACUGCGAAAGCAUUUGCCAAGAAUGUUUUCA